UACGGGGGGAGCAAGCGUUGUUCGGAUUUACUGGGCGUAAAGGGCGCGUAGGCGGCCAGCACAAGUCAGUUGUGAAAUCUCCGAGCUUAACUCGGAAAGGUCAACUGAUACUGUGCGGCUAGAGUGCGGAAGGGGCAACUGGAAUUCUUGGUGUAGCGGUGAAAUGCGUAGAUAUCAAGAGGAACACCUGAGGUGAAGACGGGUUGCUGGGCUGACACUGACGCUGAGGCGCGAAAGCCAGGGGAGCAAACGGG
This 254-nucleotide ribosomal RNA is filed under the name uncultured bacterium. RNAcentral's name for it is "partial 16S ribosomal RNA". It matches the Rfam family "Bacterial small subunit ribosomal RNA", at positions 524 to 776 of the family's 1533-position model. The record is from RNAcentral.